RNAcentral lists this ribosomal RNA (470 nucleotides) under uncultured bacterium. Its description in RNAcentral is "bacterial SSU rRNA". It matches the Rfam family "Bacterial small subunit ribosomal RNA", at positions 32 to 510 of the family's 1533-position model. The record is from RNAcentral.
AAUCAACGCUGGCGGCGUGCCUCAGACAUGCAAGUCGAACGCGAAAGUCCCCUUCGGGGGAUGAUUAGAGUGGCGCACGGGUGAGUAACACGUAGGUAAUCUACCUUCGAGUGGGGAAUAACUCAGGGAAACUUGAGCUAAUACCGCGUAAUGCAGCGGCACCACAUGGUGACAGUUGUUAAAGCAUUUAUGCGCUUGAAGAGGAGCCUGCGGCGGAUAGCUAGUUGGUAAGGUAAUGGCUUACCAAGGCUACGAUCUGUAACCGGCCUGAGAGGGCGGACGGUCACACUGACACUGAAUAACGGGUCAGACUCCUACGGGAGGCAGCAGUCGGGAAUUUUGGGCAAUGGGCGAAAGCCUGACCCAGCAACGCCGCGUGAAGGAAUGAAAUCUUUCGGGAUGUAAACUUCGGAAGAAUAAGGAAGAAAAAAUAGACGGUACUAUUUUUAAGGUCCGCUAACUACGUGCCA